This 254-nucleotide ribosomal RNA is filed under the name uncultured bacterium. Its description in RNAcentral is "partial 16S ribosomal RNA". It matches the Rfam family "Bacterial small subunit ribosomal RNA", at positions 527 to 779 of the family's 1533-position model. The record is from RNAcentral.
CGGAGGGGCUAGCGUUGUUCGGAAUUACUGGGCGUAAAGCGCACGUAGGCGGACCGGAAAGUCAGAGGUGAAAUCCCAGGGCUCAACCUUGGAACUGCCUUUGAAACUAUCGGUCUGGAGUUCGAGAGAGGUGAGUGGAAUUCCGAGUGUAGAGGUGAAAUUCGUAGAUAUUCGGAGGAACACCAGUGGCGAAAGGCGGCUCACUGGCUCGAUACUGACGCUGAGGUGCGAAAGCGUGGGGAGCAAACAGGAUU